RNAcentral lists this unclassified non-coding RNA (397 nucleotides) under uncultured Bacteroidota bacterium. RNAcentral describes it as "uncultured Bacteroidetes bacterium contains 16S-23S intergenic spacer region". It matches the Rfam family "Bacterial small subunit ribosomal RNA", at positions 797 to 1193 of the family's 1533-position model. The record is from RNAcentral. Lineage: Bacteria; Pseudomonadati; Bacteroidota.
ACGCCGUAAACGAUGGAUGCUCGGUGUUGCCCCGCUCUAUGGGGCAGUGCCUAAGCUAACGCGUUAAGCAUCCCACCUGGGGAGUACGCUCGCAAGAGUGAAACUCAAAGGAAUUGUCGGGGGCCCGCACAAGCGGUGGAGCAUGUGGCUUAAUUCGAUGCAACGCGAAGAACCUUACCUGGGCUUAAAUGCAUUCUGACAGGCUGGGAAACCAGCCCUCCUUCGGGCAGAAUGCAAGGUGCUGCAUGGCCGUCGUCAGCUCGUGCUGUGAGGUGUCGGGUUAAGUCCCAUAACGAGCGCAACCCCUAUCUUUAGUUGCCAGCGGAUAAUGCCGGGGACUCUAAAGAAACUGCCCGCGCAAGCGGAGAGGAAGGUGGGGAUGACGUAGCUAAGCCUU